UACGGAGGGUGCAAGCGUUAUCCGGAUUCACUGGGUUUAAAGGGUGCGUAGGAGGGCAGGUAAGUCAGUGGUGAAAUCUUCGAGCUUAACUCGGAAACUGCCGUUGAUACUAUCUGUCUUGAAUACCGUGGAGGUGAGCGGAAUAUGUCAUGUAGCGGUGAAAUGCUUAGAUAUGACAUAGAACACCAAUUGCGAAGGCAGCUCGCUACACAUAUAUUGACUCUGAGGCACGAAAGCGUGGGGAUCAAACAGG
Molecule: ribosomal RNA, 253 nt
Filed under: uncultured bacterium
Lineage: Bacteria
Description: partial 16S ribosomal RNA
Rfam family: Bacterial small subunit ribosomal RNA
Source: RNAcentral